This 253-nucleotide ribosomal RNA is filed under the name uncultured Lactobacillus sp. RNAcentral describes it as "partial 16S ribosomal RNA". It matches the Rfam family "Bacterial small subunit ribosomal RNA", at positions 524 to 776 of the family's 1533-position model. Lineage: Bacteria; Bacillati; Bacillota; Bacilli; Lactobacillales; Lactobacillaceae. The record is from RNAcentral.
UACGUAGGUGGCAAGCGUUAUCCGGAUUUAUUGGGCGUAAAGGGAACGCAGGCGGUCUUUUAAGUCUGAUGUGAAAGCCUUCGGCUUAACCGGAGUAGUGCAUUGGAAACUGGGAGACUUGAGUGCAGAAGAGGAAAGUGGAAUUCCUAGUGUAGCGGUGAAAUGCGUAGAUAUUAGGAGGAACACCAGUGGCGAAGGCGACUUUCUGGACAGUAACUGACGUUGAGGCACGAAAGUGUGGGGAGCAAACAGG